GCAGUGUAGAACUUUCAACAACUAAAUAACCCAUAAAUAACCCUGCUGACUAUACAUUUGAUUUUUGUUGGUUACAUUUAUAUAUCGCUUUUCUUGACACUCAAAGCACUUACAGCAACACGUUGUAACAUCCUCUGAACUCAUUUAUGUGGUUCUAGAGAGCUGCAGUUCUACGUCUCUUGAUCAUACAAAGGGAACUUCUGAGGCAAAGAGAGACUGUGCGCCUUCCAACGAGAAACAUCACAGCCAAUGUGCCUGUGGCUACAUCAGAACCUGUCAUGAGACACGCCAAAAGAACGAGAGUUAUUCAACUUUAUUUUGGGCGACAUCACUAAUCAUACUGAUUGUCGCAAUUUACUUCAGUUUUGGUCAUGAGAAAACAACUAAAUCCAUCCAAGCUCGGGACGCAAAAUUUCCUCGAACAAAGGUUCAGUUCAGACAGUACAGGUUUAGAACAGAGACUGCAUAUUUGUGCUCCUCUGUGAUACAUGGCAGGGUGUAUCUGGACUUGGACUCUGCGAGUCCUUUUCUGAUGGUGACUGAGGACCGCCAAUCUGCCAUCCAUCUCUCCAGCAGACUUCCCUACUCUUCACACCCCUCCCGCUUCUAUAGCCCACCCCCAGGUCCUCACCACCAACUGUGCACACUUUGGGUCUAACUACUGGCUGGUGGUGCAGGGCUACUGGGACAUCGGCGUGGCCUACCCGAGCAUCGGCAGAAACGGGAAAGGCACUAGCCUGGGAACAAAUGAUGACUCCUGGAGCCUCAAGAGCCACAAGAUGGGCAAUCUCACCGCUUACCACAACAAGAAGAAGACAAAGAUCCAAAGGCUGCUUGAAAACCCAGACAUUCAGAGAAUUGCUGUGUUUGUGGAUUUUGAAAUGGGGGCCAUACACUUUGCUGAAGUAGGACACAAACUCAGCCAUCUAUACACCUUUGAGGCUCAUCUAACCCAGUCUGUUUGCCUGGCCGUUGAUCUAUACAGUGUUGAUCCCCCGAGUUCAAUGUCUAUAGUCAGGAGUGUUUCAGACAGUGGAAUUUGAGACUUCAUCUGAUGACGGCACAUUGGUGUAAAUCGGAUUACUGUAAAGACUAAUGAAUGAGACGUGGCUGCAUACACAGCUGGAUAUGUGCGGUUUGUCAGCAAUUAUCAAGUGAGCUUUGACUUUCUUCUUGUUUGAAUCAAUCACUGAAGUUUCAUCAUUGAUGACAAACAUUACUUAACAGAAACAAUAAAUACAAACUCCACCCUUGCUUAUACGUUUACAUGUCUGUCUAUUUAUUCAUUGUGGACAGUGAUCUACAAGUUUCCAAAUAAAACAGAAAUGCAAAGAAA
Long non-coding RNA from Alosa sapidissima (American shad), 1336 nucleotides. RefSeq lists it as uncharacterized. The transcript has 6 exons. NCBI's taxonomy places the organism in Eukaryota, Metazoa, Chordata, Actinopteri, Clupeiformes, Clupeidae. The record is from RefSeq and is a predicted model, not a curated record.